AAGAUUUUAGCUUAAUGAAAGUGCCUGAAUUGCAGUUAGGUGAUGCAGAUUAUAAUUUUGCAGGUCUUC
This 69-nucleotide transfer RNA is filed under the name Cnemaspis thachanaensis (Tha Chana rock gecko). Its description in RNAcentral is "tRNA-Ala". It matches the Rfam family "tRNA". Rfam says of the family: Transfer RNA (tRNA) molecules are approximately 80 nucleotides in length. Lineage: Eukaryota; Metazoa; Chordata; Lepidosauria; Squamata; Gekkonidae. The record is from RNAcentral.